This 595-nucleotide ribosomal RNA is filed under the name Aspergillus niger. RNAcentral describes it as "eukaryotic LSU rRNA". The stretch from base 216 to 369 matches the Rfam family "5.8S ribosomal RNA". The record is from RNAcentral. Lineage: Eukaryota; Fungi; Ascomycota; Eurotiomycetes; Eurotiales; Aspergillaceae.
CCGUAGGUGAACCUGCGGAAGGAUCAUUACCGAGUGCGGGUCCUUUGGGCCCAACCUCCCAUCCGUGUCUAUUGUACCCUGUUGCUUCGGCGGGCCCGCCGCUUGUCGGCCGCCGGGGGGGCGCCUCUGCCCCCCGGGCCCGUGCCCGCCGGAGACCCCAACACGAACACUGUCUGAAAGCGUGCAGUCUGAGUUGAUUGAAUGCAAUCAGUUAAAACUUUCAACAAUGGAUCUCUUGGUUCCGGCAUCGAUGAAGAACGCAGCGAAAUGCGAUAACUAAUGUGAAUUGCAGAAUUCAGUGAAUCAUCGAGUCUUUGAACGCACAUUGCGCCCCCUGGUAUUCCGGGGGGCAUGCCUGUCCGAGCGUCAUUGCUGCCCUCAAGCCCGGCUUGUGUGUUGGGUCGCCGUCCCCCUCUCCGGGGGGACGGGCCCGAAAGGCAGCGGCGGCACCGCGUCCGAUCCUCGAGCGUAUGGGGCUUUGUCACAUGCUCUGUAGGAUUGGCCGGCGCCUGCCGACGUUUUCCAACCAUUCUUUCCAGGUUGACCUCGGAUCAGGUAGGGAUACCCGCUGAACUUAAGCAUAUCAAUAAGCGGA